RNAcentral lists this unclassified non-coding RNA (337 nucleotides) under uncultured Entrophosporaceae. RNAcentral describes it as "uncultured Claroideoglomeraceae sequence contains 18S rRNA gene". Lineage: Eukaryota; Fungi; Glomeromycota; Glomeromycetes; Entrophosporales; Entrophosporaceae. The record is from RNAcentral.
CCCAACUAUCCCUAUUAAUCAUUACAGUGAUCCUAGAAACCAACAAAAUAGAAUCAUUGUCCUAUUUUAUUAUUCCAUGCUAAUGUAUUCAAGCAAAUAAUGCCUGCUUUAAACACUCUAAUUUUUUCAAAGUAAAAAUUCAUUGAAACACCCAAUUAAGGAGGACAUCACAAUUCACCAGAAGGUAAGAAAUUGGCUACACCAGUUCAUACCCCUUAAGGCACGACCAAUGCAUCAAUCCCGAAAUUCAACUACGAGCUUUUUAAUCGCAGCAACCUUAAUAUACGCUAUUGGAGCUGGAAUUACCGCGGCUGCUGGCACCAGACUUGCCCUCCAA